AUGAACUUAUUUUGUCUGUUUCUCUUAAUUAUCUUGCAUCUCGCAUCUGCAGAAGAAGAAUAUGACAUUCCAUUGGCUCCGUAUAAUGUGAAAUUAAUGUGCCGUCAAGGUCGCCGAUUCUCAAAAGCAGCACAAGCGACAAAUCAAUGUCCAACAUCUUCAACUUCUUGUGGUUAUUUUGAAUUUUCAAGUGGUGAUCAAAAGAAUGGAAAUCCAACAACCGGUGUUUAUGAUUGUGUUGAUGGAGGAAUUCUUUUUGAAGAUUCUGGAGAAGUUGAUGAUGAUUUGGAGGAUAGACAUCGUAAUGUAAGAGUUUUUAAAAACGGUAGCGCCAGUCAGAAAAUAGUUUGAAACCGCUACUAUAGUAAAUACUAUAGUGAAAGUAAACUUCUAAAAUGUCUCAAAAAGUUCAAAAUUUUGGAAAUAUUGGCAAUAAACUAUACCAUACGACAUUUGAAACUGUUUCAUUCGGAUAUUAAGCUUUCAACCCAGUAUGAAUAUGUACAUUUUGUCAAACCCACCACAAAUGACUCACUUUUAAAAUUCACUUUUUAUUUAGUGCCGUCCCAUCAUAAAAAACAAGUAUUUAGAAGCAAAAUUUUUUUUCAGCAAAAAUAUUGACAAACUUCCACAAAUACUAUUCAAGCUAUUUGUUUGAUCAUAAACAUUUUUUUCUUUGUGAAGUUGUAAACGAGGUGACGGAGAGAUUGGCCAAAUAUGGUUCAGAAAAAAUUGCUGUGGAAAAAUUACUGUCGGAUUAACUCGUCCAACGAAAAAUUUUUUAAUUCAAAUUUUCAGCCCGCGUUCUCUGAACUGUGUGGAGCAAUUGCAAAGUGUACUACAGUAUCCGUUGACAAAUUGAAUCCGUCAUUUGUGAAAUAUGUUGUUCAAGAGUAUGACAUAAAACUGGAGCUUCUCGAAAAUACUGAAAUUCGAUUUUGCUGUGCUCUCUUUCAUUCUACACUUCAACGAUUGGUCACAUCUCCUACAUUUUCAUUACCAGAAGUUGCUGCUCCUCCUGUGAGUUGUCAAGGAAAAAUGUGUGCUCCAGGAGCUGUUGGUUGCCUUCUCCAUGCAGUUCAUGGAGAGGAGUAUGAUGAUUAUGAAGAAGAAACAAAGAAAAGGUAUAAACGACUGGCAUUAAAUGAUUACAUUGAAGAUGAAGACGAUUAUGUUAAUGCUGUGGAGCUAAACUUUGAGGAUACAGACCUUGAACUAAUAACCAGGGAACCACCAGUUGAGACAACAACAACUACCACUCUAAAACCAACACUUCCAAGUUUAAAAUUACCAAUGUCACUAGAUGAUCUCACAACGACUAAACCUAUGACAACGACUACUUCCAGUCCUACAACAACGGCUUCAGCUAUGUCAAAGAGCAAAACUUUCAACACGAAACACUCUUUAGAUGAAGAUGAAGAAGAGGAGCCACAUCAAUCAACUCAUUGUGUAUAUCGUCACCUGAAUAAUGAAUUCUAUCGAUAUUGUCUUCUUGUCCAUCAAUCUCGAGAUGGUGAUCGUUGUUAUCAUCAUCAAGGCCACACCAUUUGCUGUUGCUUUGUAGCUCCUGAUAAAGAAUCAUGUGAUCCCACAGAAAUGGAUCUAAUUGUUCCACCACCAAUGAAUGGAAAAGCUCUUCCACCACGUGUAAUUGUAACUAUUCCACCAAGUACUACAUCCACUACAACAAGCACAACAACUACAACGACUACAACAACUACAGAAGAGCCUACCACUACAACAACUUCAGCACCGACGACGACAACGCCGGAGCCAUCAAAGUAUCCUCCGCUGCCUCCACAAAUCUAUCGGCCGAGGCCUAUUGAUCAAAUGAAGAGGAGGAAACAGACUCCUAAAAAAUGUCGUGUUGCAUACGUGCGCACCAAAUCGGGUUCCCGAACCCGUCCAGUACUGGUUUGUGAUUCGGCUUCCGCUGCCAACUCAACUUCGUUCCCUAUUUUCCUUGUUUGCUCAUUUGUUCUCUUGUUACAGGUCUUCAAUAUUUAUAUUUGA
Molecule: RNA transcript, 2013 nt
Organism: Caenorhabditis elegans
Lineage: Eukaryota; Metazoa; Nematoda; Chromadorea; Rhabditida; Rhabditidae
Gene: T13C2.3
Gene name: Non-coding transcript of protein-coding gene T13C2.3a
Exons: 9
Source: RefSeq, marked reviewed